CUUUCCUUGAUGACGACUGGCGCACGGGUGAGUAACGCGUAUCCAACCUUCCCAUAACUACGGGAUAACCCGUUGAAAGACGGCCUAAUACCGUAUGAUAUCGUUUGCUGACAUCAAAUAACGAUUAAAGGUUUAGCGGUUAUGGAUGGGGAUGCGUCUGAUUAGCUUGUUGGUGGGGUAACGGCCCACCAAGGCUACGAUCAGUAGGGGUUCUGAGAGGAAGGUCCCCCACAUUGGAACUGAGACACGGUCCAAACUCCUACGGGAGGCAGCAGCC
This 277-nucleotide ribosomal RNA is filed under the name uncultured Prevotella sp. RNAcentral's name for it is "partial 16S ribosomal RNA". It matches the Rfam family "Bacterial small subunit ribosomal RNA", at positions 79 to 355 of the family's 1533-position model. The record is from RNAcentral. Lineage: Bacteria; Pseudomonadati; Bacteroidota; Bacteroidia; Bacteroidales; Prevotellaceae.